UUUUAGUAGUUGAACUGCGUCUCACCGCAGAGUCACGAGUAAGUUAUCUAAAUUUUGGACAUUUUAUUGAGUUUUCCAAUACAUCCCCCCCAACCGGCAGCGGUUAAAUCCUCUACGAAAAUGAGAUUCGAAAAUCACGUAGAAGAUCGUGAUUUAUUGUUCCAAGGAUUUUAUUCAUCGAGCAUCCUCAUAAUAUCCGAGGCAGUAAAAUCGAUGGAGUUACCAGUAGGAGAGCGUGACCUAUUGCCAAGGAACUUCAAUCCCCCGUCCAUCGUUGGAUGGAGGUAGCCUAGCCAAUUAUUUCCAAUUUCGAUCAUCCUUACGCUGUUCUCGUCGCAAAGUUUUCCAGAUGGGAUGAGGAAGAAUCGAGGCGUCCAAUUGGUAAAACAGUGAAUGGUCACAGUGAUAUAGCCAAUACUAAUGAAGCCUGGAACAAUUGACGAGAAUACACCUAUCAUUCACCCAAAUAUCCAACGUCCUUUGCAUAAAAUAAUUGGAGAGAGAUUAAAUCAAGUAUUGGGACGACCGACAUUAUUUCCAAUGCACCACGAAAAUUUUAUACAUGUUAACAACACAACCUAGUGGUAUUUCACUCUGAGCGGACGAUGACAUGAUCGCCAAUGCCUGGGUUCACUGCACGUAUAGCUCGACUACUCGUUCUACUACGGCACGGAUAGAUGGGAAUAUUUCUGAUGGAGUUAUAGCUGAAGGUAAAACAAUUACAAAUUGAAUUGAAAAUAUCCAGUACAUGCUUCAUCCAUUUUUCACGUAUUCUGAUGUGAUGGCGCCUCAAAGAGAUUAGGAAAAUAUUAGGUCACGCGUUGUUUGAAGUUUUUAUUCCUUCAGCUUUCGCGGAACAUAAUUUCAUGUUUUUCUGAAUAAUUGAUGGAGUCUGACUCCUGUUUAUUGUGAAAGGCUUCU
Molecule: long non-coding RNA, 921 nt
Organism: Diachasmimorpha longicaudata
Lineage: Eukaryota; Metazoa; Arthropoda; Insecta; Hymenoptera; Braconidae
Exons: 3
Source: RefSeq, a predicted model, not a curated record